Molecule: ribosomal RNA, 500 nt
Filed under: uncultured bacterium
Lineage: Bacteria
Description: partial 16S ribosomal RNA
Rfam family: Bacterial small subunit ribosomal RNA
Source: RNAcentral
AUUGAACGCUGGCGGCAGGCCUAACACAUGCAAGUCGAGCGGUAGAGAGAAGCUUGCUUCUCUUGAGAGCGGCGGACGGGUGAGUAAUGCCUAGGAAUCUGCCUGGUAGUGGGGGAUAACGUUCGGAAACGGACGCUAAUACCGCAUACGUCCUACGGGAGAAAGCAGGGGACCUUCGGGCCUUGCGCUAUCAGAUGAGCCUAGGUCGGAUUAGCUAGUUGGUGAGGUAAUGGCUCACCAAGGCGACGAUCCGUAACUGGUCUGAGAGGAUGAUCAUGCACACUGGAACUGAGACACGGUACAGACUCCUACGGGAGGCAGCAGUGGGGAAUAUUGGACAAUGGGCGAAAGCCUGAUCCAGCCAUGCCGCGUGUGUGAAGAAGGUCUUCGGAUUGUAAAGCACUUUAAGUUGGGAGGAAGGGUUGUAGAUUAAUACUCUGCAAUUUUGACGUUACCGACAGAAUAAGCACCGGCUAACUCUGUGCCAGCAGCCGCGGUAA